RNAcentral lists this small nucleolar RNA (134 nucleotides) under Castor canadensis (American beaver). RNAcentral's name for it is "Small nucleolar RNA SNORA58 (ENSCCNG00000017639.1)". It matches the Rfam family "Small nucleolar RNA SNORA58". Rfam says of the family: ACA52 is a member of the H/ACA class of snoRNA that guide the sites of modification of uridines to pseudouridines. The record is from Rfam by way of RNAcentral. Lineage: Eukaryota; Metazoa; Chordata; Mammalia; Rodentia; Castoridae.
AGGCAUAUCCGUAGACCUUGCCUGACUCUGCUCAUGACCAGGUAGGGGGGACAGUGUAUGCAAGAGUAAUUGGAGUCCAUGCUAGCUCUAACCAGCUAAUCACUGGCUGGAUAAAUUGCAGUACUCCAACAUUA